ACGUUUCCUUAACAAGAAUUAAGUUCAGCUGUAAUCACCUGUUCAUUAAUUUUGAACCAAGCGUAUAAAAGGCAGUCGCUCAAAGCCUUGAAGACACGGAAGAAACUCUGAUCAGACUUCUCAGUACGAUCGGCUAGCUAAGACAGAAUGAACACGAAAUUUUCUUGGAUUCUAAUGGCUCUUCUUCUUAGUUCCUUUGUAUGUUGGAGUAGCGCAUUUUCGCCAAACCAGCAUAACCCAAAGAUGCGCAAUGGAAAACGACAUUUUUCCUCUCAAUCCAACCGUGCAAAUGAAAACUUCUUACGGGCAUGGCGGAAAAAUUCCGUUGAAAAUACUGCAGAAAAACCGUCCGAGGUACAGCUUGAAUAAGGCAUGUCAUCGUAUGGAGUUAUCAAGUUAUCAAGUCAAGAUAUUAGGAAAACGAUUUAGGUCUCACAAACUUUCUUAAGAGUUAUUUUGGCGAGUUAAAUGCGUAGUCUAUGAGUUAUUUUUGUAACUAAAAGUUAUAAUUAAAAGGUAAACAUAUCUUUACAAGACUGACAAGGAUCUCAGGUAUUUAAAACACUAAAAGAAGAAAAUGAUAUUAUUUCGAAAAAUAGAUUUAACAGUUUCUAAGUUUAUGUAUAGUUUCUUGCUAUUUUUGCUCAUGACGUAAUCAUUCACCCAUACCUCUAUUUCUAGUUAUCACACCCGCUAUACAACUUGUCGCCCAAGUUAACUGCGGUUUUGCUUUAAGCAUAAUUGCCUUCAGACUGCGCCGUUACUAAUGAGUAAGCAAAACAUUCAUCCUAACAGUAACAAAUAACAUCAUAAGUAAUCAUAAUCAUGAUGCUAAUAAUAAUGAUAGUGAGUCAAGAACAACUUAGAAAGUAAUUUUGUGAGUAAAUUGAACUCACGAACACAACAAUACUUUAAUUGUACGUUAUCAAGGUAAUGAGGCUGAUGGCAUGACGUUCCUUCACCAGUUAAUCAUGUCAAUUACGAAAUGCAAGUUAAAUCUAUUAAAAGAAUAUUUGAUAUACA
Molecule: long non-coding RNA, 1023 nt
Organism: Stylophora pistillata
Lineage: Eukaryota; Metazoa; Cnidaria; Anthozoa; Scleractinia; Pocilloporidae
Source: RefSeq, a predicted model, not a curated record